Molecule: ribosomal RNA, 576 nt
Filed under: Triticum aestivum (bread wheat)
Lineage: Eukaryota; Viridiplantae; Streptophyta; Magnoliopsida; Poales; Poaceae
Description: partial small subunit ribosomal RNA
Source: RNAcentral
AUGAUUGAGACAAUUGCGCACUUCAAGGAUAUACAAAAAACCGAUCCAGACUUCUUCUAUAAGGUAAAAUAUGAUGAACAGGACAGAGUUGUCAACAUAUUUUGGGUGGAUGGGUUAGCUCGAAAAGCUUAUGCGGAGGUGUGCCACGAUUGCAUAUCGUUUGACACCACCUACAUGACCAACAUGUACAAUAUGUCGUUCGCGCCCUUCAUUAGAAUAAACCAACAUGGCCAAUCUUUCAUGCCGGGUUGCGCGUUUGUGAGGCAGGAGUUGGCAUCGAGCUUUGAUUGGGUCUUCCGAGCAUUCCUAGAGGCUAUGGAUGGCAAACCUCCUGACAACUUCAUCACCGAUCGGGAUGGUGCAAUGAGGAAGUCAAUACAGAGCAUAUUUCCAACCACCGUGCAUCGCUGUUGUCGAUGGCACAUCAUGAAAAAGGCUCAAGAAAAAGUUGGUUGGCUGUUGUGCCGGAAUCCAGGGCUCUCUGUGAAGGAAAUAGCCCUAGAGGCAAUAAUAAAGUUAUUACUUAUUUCCUCAUAUCAUGAUAAAUGUUUAUUAUUCAUGCUAGAAUUGUAUUAA